Molecule: long non-coding RNA, 757 nt
Filed under: Homo sapiens (human)
Lineage: Eukaryota; Metazoa; Chordata; Mammalia; Primates; Hominidae
Description: HSALNT0206209
Source: RNAcentral
UAUCCCUUUCCAAUUUAAUUUUAUAUCAUUUUCCCCUUAUUUAUUUUUGUUAAACCACAUUGGCUUUCUUUCUGUUUUCUUUAGAAGUCAACUCUCCUUCCCGCCUGAGGGCCUCUGCUCUUUCUAUUGCUUGGAAUCUUCUCACGAUGGACUCAGCCUUUCUUUCACUCUCCACUCCAGUGUUGCCUUAGAGAGGUUGUCUCUGACCUGCCAAUUGGAGCCAUCAAGAUGAGCAGAGAUGGAGGCUCAGCAAUCAUACGCAAACUUAUUUUAAACACGUGAGACUGUGAUUCAUAAAGCUUCAGUGACUUUGAGAGAUGAGUCCCACCUUUGUCCAUACCACCCUGAAUGCACCCAGUCUCGUCAGAAGAUGAGUCCUCAGCAAGAUUGCAUGGACAACAAAACUCCAAGAGGAGCCUUGUCUUUCUGGCCAAAGGCCCAGGAAUAGGGGCCACCUUGGGCAAAAGAAUAUAAGAGGGGUCUCCUUCCCUUCCUCUCUCUCAUUUUUGCUUUCUUGGUUGUGGCCUGAAGGCAGUUCCAGUAAUGAAGUUGUAGCAACCAGGGCAAAUAAAACUCGAUCUAUCUGGCUAGAUGAGCAGAAAAUGGGGAUGCUGCAAGUAGAAGAGUACAUAAGAAAUUCUGAAAGGGGGUGUGGAAAAGGCAAUCUCCUCUGUCGGUGCAUUGAUUAGCAAAAGUGCCGGAUUUACCCUUGGGCUGUGCAUGAUAGUUCCCCCCAAAACAGUAAAAAUCAUAAAAA